CCAAAGGCUCUUUUCAGAGCCAACUAUUCGCUCUGUAAAAGUUUCU
Molecule: non-coding RNA, 46 nt
Organism: Erinaceus europaeus (western European hedgehog)
Lineage: Eukaryota; Metazoa; Chordata; Mammalia; Eulipotyphla; Erinaceidae
Source: Rfam